Molecule: signal recognition particle RNA, 329 nt
Filed under: Candidatus Bathyarchaeota archaeon
Lineage: Archaea; Thermoproteati; Candidatus Bathyarchaeota
Description: signal recognition particle sRNA
Rfam family: Archaeal signal recognition particle RNA
Source: RNAcentral
CGGCAGGUCUUAGGCGGGGGGCUAGGGGUCCCCUGAGAGGCGUAAGCCUCGACCGUAAACCCUCUAUAUGACGGGCCGAAAGCUGAGGUGAGGCGUAAAGCCCAUCGGCCACCCUCCAAUCCUCAACCGAUGAUUACUCGUCCUCUGGGGCCGGCGGUCACGGAGCGUCUCCUGUAGGGGAGACGUAACCGUGUCUACCAAGCGAACCUGGCCAGGCCCGGGAGGGAGCAACCUAAGCUUGGACGUUCGGCGCUCAGAGGGGUGCGGGUAUGAGUUAGAGGAUUGGAGGAGCCGAUGGGGACUUUACGUCGAGCCUCAGUGACCUGCCG